Molecule: long non-coding RNA, 142 nt
Organism: Zophobas morio
Lineage: Eukaryota; Metazoa; Arthropoda; Insecta; Coleoptera; Tenebrionidae
Exons: 3
Source: RefSeq, a predicted model, not a curated record
GAGAUUUCUGCAGGUGAACUUGCAAAAGAUUCGAACUUACUUGAAUUAGUGGAUGCCGAUGUUUAUCGUGAAAUACAUCAAGUUGUAAAGUCUCUUCAAAGCCAUUCUUGUAGAGAAGCUUUAGCUUGGUGCUCUAUAAAUA